RNAcentral lists this ribosomal RNA (497 nucleotides) under uncultured bacterium. Its description in RNAcentral is "partial 16S ribosomal RNA". It matches the Rfam family "Bacterial small subunit ribosomal RNA", at positions 28 to 507 of the family's 1533-position model. The record is from RNAcentral.
GAUGAACGCUGGCGGCGUGCCUAAUACAUGCAAGUCGAGCGAACGGACGAGAAGCUUGCUUCUCUGAUGCUAGCGGCGGACGGGUGAGUAACACGUGGGUAACCUACCUAUAAGACUGGGAUAACUUCGGGAAACCGGAGCUAAUACCGGAUAAUAUUUUGAACCGCAUGGUUCAAUAGUGAAAGACGGUCUUGCUGUCACUUAUAGAUGGAUCCGCGCUGCAUUAGCUAGUUGGUAAGGUAACGGCUUACCAAGGCAACGAUGCAUAGCCGACCUGAGAGGGUGAUCGGCCACACUGGAACUGAGACACGGUCCAGACUCCUACGGGAGGCAGCAGUAGGGAAUCUUCCGCAAUGGGCGAAAGCCUGACGGAGCAACGCCGCGUGAGUGAUGAAGGUCUUCGGAUCGUAAAACUCUGUUAUUAGGGAAGAACAUAUGUGUAAGUAACUGUGCACAUCUUGACGGUACCUAAUCAGAAAGCCACGGCUAACUACGUG